ACUCUCCAUUUUUGCACAGGAAAGGGAAAUACGCACGGAGCUGGGAUGAGACCCCCAUCAGCAUCCUCCUUCAAGUCCAGAAAAUGGCCAUGGUGGCUCCCACGCCCCGAAGGGAGGUCAGGAGUCUGGGAAGCCGGUCCCUGCCCCGGGAGGGCAGCAGCAGCCCCCGCAGCACACGAGCUGAAGCUGCGUUUUGCCUCCCUUCUCUAACAGGACUGUUAACAGGCCGUGACACCGAAAUUCAGCCCAGUUCAUUAGUGCUACGUUCCUUCCUUCAGGAUUGAUCUACCUUAUUUGUUUGUCUCUGCCGUUGUUAGCAGGGACGAUUGUUUGCAUAAUUUUGCAAAAUGUUCUCUGUUCGUUCAAGAAGCCGUAAGAGUAAAAGGCAAUUGCCUGCACCGCCAGCAUCCUCAGAGCCCCGUAACCUGGGGCUGCCUCUGCUUCCCUGCCGGAGGACGCCGUCAGCCCGGCCACUGGGGCGGCGGGUGCACGUGUGAGUUGGAAUCAGGCGUGGGAAUGACCCUCCAGGCUCUUGAGGUUUUGGAGGCAGUGACUAUCCCCUCUGAGCCCCAGUGGCUGCUCUCUAUUCCAGUCUGAUGCCACUGAAUGGUUGGAAAUGAUGGCUGGGACUGACCUGCUCCAUGAGACUGCCCCACGGCCGCUGCAAUGAGAGGUUCCCAUCGGCUGCUGCAAGGCUGGGAACUGGCUCUUGGUGUUUGCAGAAGGAGAGGGAUUCCCUCAUUCCCACCGUCACCUCAGAAAUAAACCCUCGUUAUGGGUUCGUACCUGGGGAGGAAGAAACUGAUUUCCACUCCCGGCCAGUUCAGGACAGAUAUUUGAAGGUCCAUGCACCAAUCCCAGGGAACGUGCCCCCGACAACUGGAGUUUGCAGGAUGGUUGUUACUGGCCCUGGUCCUGCCUCCCUGCUUAGCAGUUCCCGCACGCCUCCGCCAAAUCCAAGCAGAGGUAAAUCGCUGAAUCACAGAAAAAGCCAAUCACGAGGCAGACCAAGGGCUCGGGUCUGGCUUCUCACGUGAUGGAUGGGUUAUUUUGUACCAAGGCACUGCGAUGCUGAAGUGGGGGUUGUGACCACACUCGUUUUUUGAAUGAAGAACGAUGAAGGGCCUGAUUUUCACUGUCACAGAGAACUCCUGAAGGGCUCAAACUUUUCUAAUUUUCCUACUAGCCCUACUCACAGUUCUCGCUAGGGCACAAUCCCAGUUCAGCCUGAAAGUCCCCGUAAACCCACGUAGUCCGGCUCCACGUGGGGACAGAUGGUCAGAAAGCUUCGGUGACCACCAGCACCAGCUCCACGCGUGGCCGGAGCGCAGAGGGGGACGCCGCUGGGUGACGCGUGGCGGGGGGCCGAGCGGGCUGCGGACGCUGAGGUUUCUGCGGGGGUUAAACAGCAGCACUUGCAGCAUGCAGACGCGGUGGCACAGCCGUCUCCUACCAGAGGCUCGGGAAGAAGGAAGCCGUACUCCUCGGAGAGCUGAAACCUGGUCAGUGCCAGAGGCAGCAGGGUCUCCUCCGUGCCGUCGCAGGCCUC
Phalacrocorax carbo (great cormorant) is the source of this 1549-nucleotide non-coding RNA. NCBI's taxonomy places the organism in Eukaryota, Metazoa, Chordata, Aves, Suliformes, Phalacrocoracidae. The record is from RefSeq and is a predicted model, not a curated record.